AGCGAACGUUUGCGGCGGGCUUAACACAUGCAAGUCGAACGGGCUGUUCCUUCGGGGGCAGUCAGUGGCGCACGGGUGCGUAACACGUAGGUAAUCAACCCUCUGGUUGGGGAUAACACUUCGAAAGGAGUGCUAGUACCCGGUAUGGCGCAGCGGUCUUCGGAUCGCGGCGAGAAAGACCCGCAAGGGUUGCCAGAGGACGAGCCUGCGGCCCAUCAGCUAGUUGGCGAGGUAACGGCUCACCAAGGCGAAGACGGGUAGCUGGUCUGAGAGGAUGAUCAGCCACACUGGAACUGAGACACGGUCCAGACUCCUACGGGAGGCAGCAGUGGGGAUAUUGCGCAAUGGGCGAAAGCCUGACGCAGCCACGCCGCGUGAGCGAUGAAGGCCUU
This 392-nucleotide ribosomal RNA is filed under the name uncultured bacterium. RNAcentral describes it as "bacterial SSU rRNA". It matches the Rfam family "Bacterial small subunit ribosomal RNA", at positions 28 to 418 of the family's 1533-position model. The record is from RNAcentral.